UGGCUGGUGUUCUAACGUAGACCCGUAAUCCGGGUUGCGGACAGUGUCUGGUGGGUAGUUUGACUGGGGCGGUCUCCUCCCAAAGAGUAACGGAGGAGCACGAAGGUUAGCUAAUCCUGGUCGGACAUCAGGAGGUUAGUGCAAUGGCAUAAGCUAGCUUGACUGCGAGAGUGACGGCUCGAGCAGGUGCGAAAGCAGGUCAUAGUGAUCCGGUGGUUCUGAAUGGAAGGGCCAUCGCUCAACGGAUAAAAGGUACUCCGGGGAUAACAGGCUGAUACCGCCCAAGAGUUCAUAUCGACGGCGGUGUUUGGCACCUCGAUGUCGGCUCAUCACAUCCUGGGG
Molecule: ribosomal RNA, 342 nt
Filed under: Enterobacter asburiae
Lineage: Bacteria; Pseudomonadati; Pseudomonadota; Gammaproteobacteria; Enterobacterales; Enterobacteriaceae
Also listed under: 1 other name
Description: partial 23S ribosomal RNA
Rfam family: Bacterial large subunit ribosomal RNA
Source: RNAcentral